Molecule: long non-coding RNA, 1065 nt
Organism: Drosophila pseudoobscura
Lineage: Eukaryota; Metazoa; Arthropoda; Insecta; Diptera; Drosophilidae
Exons: 2
Source: RefSeq, a predicted model, not a curated record
AUUGAGACUUUACUUUAUUGCCGAUCGUGUUAUUUUGUCUAAUUUCUUCGACUAAACGAUAUUCAAAGCUCAGUGUAUCGAUAGAUUCAGCCAAAUAAGGAAUCGUUAGUGAUCCAAAAACUAAAAAGUGUUUCUAAAUACACAAUAUGCUGAUAAAGUGUUUCUAAAUACACAAUUUGCUGAUAAAUAUGUACAAUUGAUUCGUUUUUUAAGCUACUAGUACUAUAACAAUAAUUCUGUAACAAUCAAAAGCUCCACUCUUAUCGAAAGUGCCUUCACAAGAAGGUGGUGCGAUCAGGCGAUAAAAAGAAAAAGGCGCGCACUCAGACAAGAAAGUCCGCGAAAUCAAGAGAUGUUUUCAAAAAUGAAAAGAGUGUCCGGAAAUUAAGCAUGUACAGUGUAUAUUAGCUGCGGCUAAUCGAAAUCCAUUCCAUCUAGUGUUUUUUCUUUUUGGAAGAUGAAUAGAGGGAAGCCGCCUUGUUGUCUAGGAUUUUGAACCAGAAACUUUUACUACAAACAACAUUCCUGUUCAACAUAACUCUGUGAAUCCUGUUUCGCCAGGGUGUCCGUCUAGUCAAGAGAGGCGGCCUGUCAAUAUUUUUCAGGAGCUGGGGAGCAGCCCAGCUAGCGGCUGUCAACCUUCAACUUUUGGCGACCAUGGCCGGCACCGGUGCCGAUGCCGAUGCCGAUGCCGAUGCUGCUUCUGCUGUGCUGUUUGCCGUUCGUCCAGGGCAAUCACGUGCCCAGUCGACUUGAGCCCCGAGCACGCCCCAGGGAGCUGUCAAACGGCUUUGGACCGUUUCGCGUUCCACUAAAGAAAAUUUCAAAUUAUUUUCACUUCCCUCCUGCCCCUUUGGUGCUGCCACUACCACUGCCACUGCCUUUGCGCCUCUCUGUUGAGAGUUUUUGUUAUUCCUGCUGCCGGCUAAUUAGUAAAACUCUCUGCAAAAUUAUGCUCACUCCCAAAUGCCACCCCCACCCAUGCUGCCGCCGCUUUCCUUAUCUAAAUAAACACCCAACCAUUGAGUGGGCGGGUUGUUGGGGCUGGUCUGGGCUGCUGGGGCU